CGGUUGAGGUGUCUGGCGGAGAGAGACAGCUAUCCAUCUGAGAGGAGCUCGGAUGUUGCUGGCGAGCCUUCUACCAUUGGGUGCUUUGGGCAUUUAUACUGCAGGCGAGGGCCAUUUGCUGUAGGAGCUCGGUCAGAGGCUUUUCGUAGAUGAAGUUCGAUUUCACAUAGAAUUUCGUAGACGGUCGAUCAGCAGUGGGUGUCGGAUGGUGCUGGAGAGGUUCAUCCGCUGGAGGGGUUCGACUACUGGAGUCCAUGUGUCGUAGGAGUUCGUCCGGAAUCUGUCCACUACAGAAGUUCGGUCGGAGUCCGAUCACCAUAGAAGCCCGGAUGGAGAUCAUUUAUCGAGGAAGCUCAACCGAAGCCUGCAGUAGAAGCUCGGAGUAGAUCGCUUGCAGUAGAAGCUCAGAGUAGAUCGCUUG
Molecule: long non-coding RNA, 421 nt
Filed under: Elaeis guineensis (African oil palm)
Lineage: Eukaryota; Viridiplantae; Streptophyta; Magnoliopsida; Arecales; Arecaceae
Description: long non-coding RNA (EGUI_LNC059721)
Source: RNAcentral